Molecule: small RNA, 152 nt
Filed under: Caenorhabditis brenneri
Lineage: Eukaryota; Metazoa; Nematoda; Chromadorea; Rhabditida; Rhabditidae
Description: sRNA CBN34334
Source: RNAcentral
AAAAUCACCAUUUUUAAGGGAGUUAGCGCUUUUCGAGUUCGAGGCAAUAGGGUACGAGACAGCAGAGAAAGAGACAGUCGUUAUCUCUGCCGUCUCUCACUCUCUCACCUUCAACUUUAAAGGCGCAUAACUCCCUUCAAAAUGAAGAUUUU